This 466-nucleotide ribosomal RNA is filed under the name uncultured bacterium. Its description in RNAcentral is "partial 16S ribosomal RNA". It matches the Rfam family "Bacterial small subunit ribosomal RNA", at positions 28 to 507 of the family's 1533-position model. The record is from RNAcentral.
GAUGAACGCUGGCGGCGUGCUUAACACAUGCAAGUCGAACGAUGAGGCCCAGCUUGCUGGGUGGAUUAGUGGCGAACGGGUGAGUAACACGUGAGUAACCUGCCCUUAACUCUGGGAUAAGCCUGGGAAACUGGGUCUAAUACCGGAUAGGAGCGUCCACCGCAUGGUGGGUGUUGGAAAGAUUUAUCGGUUUUGGAUGGACUCGCGGCCUAUCAGCUUGUUGGUGAGGUAAUGGCUCACCAAGGCGACGACGGGUAGCCGGCCUGAGAGGGUGACCGGCCACACUGGGACUGAGACACGGCCCAGACUCCUACGGGAGGCAGCAGUGGGGAAUAUUGCACAAUGGGCGCAAGCCUGAUGCAGCGACGCCGCGUGAGGGAUGACGGCCUUCGGGUUGUAAACCUCUUUCAGUAGGGAAGAAGCGAAAGUGACGGUACCUGCAGAAGAAGCACCGGCUAACUACGUG